UACGUAGGGGGCGAGCGUUGUCCGGAUUUAUUGGGCGUAAAGAGCUCGUAGGCGGUUUGGUAAGUCGGGUGUGAAAUCUCCACGCUCAACGUGGAGGGGCCACUCGAUACUGCCAUGACUCGAGUCCGGUAGAGGAGUGUGGAAUUCCCGGUGUAGCGGUGAAAUGCGCAGAUAUCGGGAGGAACACCAGUGGCGAAGGCGGCGAUCUGGGAAGAUACUGACGCUGAGGUGCGAAAGCGUGGGGAGCAAACAGG
Molecule: ribosomal RNA, 254 nt
Filed under: uncultured bacterium
Lineage: Bacteria
Description: partial 16S ribosomal RNA
Rfam family: Bacterial small subunit ribosomal RNA
Source: RNAcentral